AGGAGUCAGGAGUCAGGAGUAAGGAGUAAGGAGUAAUGAGUAAGGAGUAAGGAGUCAGGAGUCAGGACUCAUAUGGAUAUUAAUUUCAGAGAGCGGACAGCUCAGUCCUUGGUUCAGACAGGAGAGCAGAACAGAGCUGAAGAUUGUAGUCCAGCAGGAGACACAGAUCAAUGAGGAGAGUGUGUUGAACAACAUCUCUGGGAGCCAGGAGGAUCUCCUCUAACUCACAGUCACAGUAUCCUUGUAGGAACUCUGACCACGCCCCUCUUCUCACCAUUCAAUAGAACAGAAGAUAAUCAUUAAUCCUGACCUUUUAAUGUGGAACCCAUCCGAGCCUACAAUAAAAAGGGAAGAGGAUACGAUGAAACUUGCAAGAAGGAUCUGAUCUGAACGAACCUUCUCAACAAAAGAGCAUUCACCCCUCUCCACCAGAAUGAAGUUCCCAGGGUCCACGACUUUGAAGUACACGUCGUGAUCGAAGAACUUCCAAGCAGGGAUCUCCACACAUACUAUUACAUAGAAGAGGAUACAGA
Bolinopsis microptera is the source of this 533-nucleotide long non-coding RNA. RefSeq lists it as uncharacterized. The transcript has 5 exons. NCBI's taxonomy places the organism in Eukaryota, Metazoa, Ctenophora, Tentaculata, Lobata, Bolinopsidae. The record is from RefSeq and is a predicted model, not a curated record.